UACAGAGGUGGCAAGCGUUGUUCGGAAUUACUGGGCGUAAAGGGCGCGUAGGCGGCCAUCUAAGUCAGACGUGAAAUCCCCCGGCUUAACCUGGGAACUGCGUCUGAUACUGGAAGGCUUGAGUAUGGGAGAGGGAUGUAGAAUUCCAGGUGUAGCGGUGAAAUGCGUAGAUAUCUGGAGGAAUACCGGUGGCGAAGGCGGCAUCCUGGACCAUUACUGACGCUGAGGCGCGAAAGCUAGGGGAGCAAGCGGG
This 253-nucleotide ribosomal RNA is filed under the name uncultured bacterium. RNAcentral's name for it is "partial 16S ribosomal RNA". It matches the Rfam family "Bacterial small subunit ribosomal RNA", at positions 524 to 776 of the family's 1533-position model. The record is from RNAcentral.